Capsicum annuum is the source of this 1021-nucleotide long non-coding RNA. RefSeq lists it as uncharacterized. The transcript has 2 exons. Lineage: Eukaryota; Viridiplantae; Streptophyta; Magnoliopsida; Solanales; Solanaceae. The record is from RefSeq and is a predicted model, not a curated record.
GAAGCAUAAUUAAAUUCAGCUUCACUUCAUCCCUCUCUUCUUCUAUAAUUGCAAAUCAUCAAGCUGUAAUGCUUGUAUUUCACAUGGUAUCAGAGCUACAAGCUCAAUACUGAGCAUAUUUCGAUCAAUUUUUCAUCGAGUUCUCUGCAAAAUUUGAGAUCUCUGUUUUCAGUUUCUUCUUCUUCGCGAUUCUGAUAUACUCUGCACUUCGAUCCUUCCACUUAUGGCUCCCAAAAUUGAUCAGAGUGAUCCUUUUUCAUUGAUGCUUCUGAUAGUUCCAGUGUUGUACAUGUUCCAAUCAAAUUAACUGUUCAGAAAAUUAUAGUUUGUGGAGUCGAUCGAUGCGUAUUGUUUUCUUAGGGAAGAGGAAGUUUGGUUUUGUUACUGAACCUACAACAAAGAGUCAUACAGAGAGGAACUCCAUGAAUAAUGGGAAACAUGUAAUGCCAUUUUCCUUUCCUUGAUCAUGAAUACCGUGAGUGAGAAUUUACUGUCUGGUAUUGUUUAUGCCCCAAGUGCUUAUGCAGUUUGGGAAGAUCUGAAGGAGAGAUAUGACAAGGUGAAUCGUAUGUGUAUAUAUCAAUUGCGUCAUGAAAUCAAUAUUCAUUCUCAAGGACCACUUCAAUGGCAAGGUGAAGGGGAUUGAUAGACAAGAGGGUGGACUAGAUAUUCUUAAAGGUGAAUAGAAAGGAGAUAAUAAUCAUACAGAAUCAAACCACUGUAGAUUCAUUGCAGAAGUAUUAGUUUUUAGUUGCAGCUUAUGGCACCAAAGACUUGGGCAUCCAGUUUCUCAGGUUUUAAGAUGCUUAAAUAUUCUUCAGAGUCCUAGUGAUGUAAAUACAUUGAAUAAAUGUACUGUGUGUCCUCUAGCAAAAUAGACAAGACUGUGAUUUCCUACAAGUACUACUAGGUCUUCUGUAUGUUUUGAACUCGUACACAUGGAUUUAUGGGGUCCAUAUAGAUCGUCUACCUUUGAUAACAAGUAUUAUUUUUCGACUAUGGUAGAUGACUAUAGUAGAUA